RNAcentral lists this transfer RNA (72 nucleotides) under Toxocara canis (dog roundworm). It matches the Rfam family "tRNA". From Rfam's summary of the family: Transfer RNA (tRNA) molecules are approximately 80 nucleotides in length. Their secondary structure includes four short double-helical elements and three loops (D, anti-codon, and T loops). Lineage: Eukaryota; Metazoa; Nematoda; Chromadorea; Rhabditida; Toxocaridae. The record is from Rfam by way of RNAcentral.
GUGGCAGUAGCCCAGCGGUAGAGCCUUCGCCUGAUAUGCGAAGGGACCCGGGCCCAACUCCCGGUUGCUUCU